GUAAAUAAAAGGAAAGCCCUUUUCGUGGGUUUAAACCCAGUCUGCUUCCGGUCUCCUCAUUUCGACAUGUAGGGAUCUUUAACAUCUUUUACCAGCCAUUAGCUGUGUUUAUGCAGUUCGGUGUGUCGUGGUUCAAACGUCACCCUUAUUAUAGUUAGCAUGGUAGUUUAACGUAGCUCCUGUCGGAGCGCCAGCUGUCGCCGUCACAGCUAUUAAAGACGCUCUCAUGAUUUUCGUAUGUGCCAUCGUGAGUAUCACGUCAUCGGAUCACGGCAGGGUCCUCGAUGUUGCAUGCGUUAAGGCGGGCUGAGUGAGGUGUGGUCAUAUCGGUAUAGCUCCUCCCCCUCACUCGUGGAGCCACGUUGCUGCUUCAUACUCUGAUUUGGUUUUAUUGUUAUUUUGCUUUGUGUUGGUUGCGGUUACUGAGAUCAGUUUUCUUUAAUUCACUGUGUUGUAACAGUCUUUAUCAGUUAUACUGAUACUGCUAUGUGGCAGUAGUGGUUUUGGUCAGUCUUGGUAAGCUUGCUACCUGUAAUCAGUUUGAGCUCGAGGUUCUGUGUGUUUGUGACGGAGCUGGGUGCUUCCUGAGGCUGGGGGGAGUUCUUUGCUGCACCUUUAGGCUUUAAUUAAUUAAGGCUCGUUAUUGCUGUUUAUUUGCAGUGAAUUUUGUGGGUAUGAUUCUGAUUGGUGUGGUUCUUCUCCCUUUUGUACAGCUGGUGCUGUCGUACUAGCCUCAUACAGGAAGCCUCAGUCCUCCUAGUCUUAUUAACUUUCUCUUGUGACUGUUUUAUUGACCAAUGCCUGACUGCGUUGGCUGCUUCUUUUAAAAUAAUUCUUGGCCAGUC
Molecule: long non-coding RNA, 845 nt
Organism: Ictalurus punctatus (channel catfish)
Lineage: Eukaryota; Metazoa; Chordata; Actinopteri; Siluriformes; Ictaluridae
Source: Ensembl